Molecule: ribosomal RNA, 253 nt
Filed under: uncultured bacterium
Lineage: Bacteria
Description: partial 16S ribosomal RNA
Rfam family: Bacterial small subunit ribosomal RNA
Source: RNAcentral
UACGUAGGUGGCAAGCGUUGUCCGGAUUUACUGGGCGUAAAGGGUGCGUAGGCGGAUGUUUAAGUGAGAUGUGAAAUACCCGAGCUCAACUUGGGUGCUGCAUUUCAAACUGGAUAUCUAGAGUGCGGGAGAGGAAAGCGGAAUUCCUAGUGUAGCGGUGAAAUGCGUAGAGAUUAGGAAGAACACCAGUGGCGAAGGCGGCUUUCUGGACUGUAACUGACGCUGAGGCACGAAAGCGUGGGGAGCAAACAGG